GACGAGCGCUGGCGGCGUGCUUAACACAUGCAAGUCGAACGGAAAGGCCCUGCUUUUGUGGGGUGCUCGAGUGGCGAACGGGUGAGUAACACGUGAGUAACCUGCCCUUGACUUUGGGAUAACUUCAGGAAACUGGGGCUAAUACCGGAUAGGAGCUCCUGCUGCAUGGUGGGGGUUGGAAAGUUUCGGCGGUUGGGGAUGGACUCGCGGCUUACCAGCUUGUUGGUGGGGUAGUGGCUUACCAAGGCUUUGACGGGUAGCCGGCCUGAGAGGGUGACCGGCCACAUUGGGACUGAGAUACGGCCCAGACUCCUACGGGAGGCAGCAGUGGGGAAUAUUGCACAAUGGGCGGAAGCCUGAUGCAGCAACGCCGCGUGCGGGAUGACGGCCUUCGGGUUGUAAACCGCUUUCGCCUGUGACGAAGCGUGAGUGACGGUAAUGGGUAAAGAAGCACCGGCUAACUACGUG
RNAcentral lists this ribosomal RNA (468 nucleotides) under uncultured bacterium. RNAcentral describes it as "partial 16S ribosomal RNA". It matches the Rfam family "Bacterial small subunit ribosomal RNA", at positions 28 to 507 of the family's 1533-position model. The record is from RNAcentral.